CCCUGGUAGUCCACGCCCUAAACGAUGUACACUAGUUGUUGGGGUGCUAGUCAUCUCAGUAAUGCAGCUAACGCAUUAAGUGUACCGCCUGGGGAGUACGGUCGCAAGAUUAAAACUCAAAGGAAUAGACGGGGACCCGCACAAGCGGUGGAGCAUGUGGUUUAAUUCGAAGAUACGCGAAGAACCUUACCUGGGCUUGAUAUCCUAAGAACCUUUUAGAGAUAAGAGGGUGCUAGCUUGCUAGAACUUAGAGACAGGUGCUGCACGGCUGUCGUCAGCUCGUGUCGUGAGAUGUUGGGUUAAGUCCCGCAACGAGCGCAACCCACGUAUUUAGUUGCUAACGGUUCGGCCGAGCACUCUAAAUAGACUGCCUUCGUAAGGAGGAGGAAGGUGUGGACGACGUCAAGUCAUCAUGGCCCUUAUGCCCAGGGCGACACACGUGCUACAAUGGCAUAUACAAUGAGACGCAAUACCGCGAGGUGGAGCAAAUCUAUAAAAUAUGUCCCAGUUCGGAUUGUUCUCUGCAACUCGAGAGCAUGAAGCCGGAAUCGCUAGUAAUCGUAGAUCAGCCAUGCUACGGUGAAUACGUUCCCGGGUCUUGUACUCACCGCCCGUCACACCAUGGGAGUUGAUUUCACUCGAAGCCGGAAUACUAAACUAGUUACCGUCCACAGUGGAAUCAGCGACUGGGGUGAAGUCGUAACAAGGUAACCGUAGGAGAACCUGCGGUUG
RNAcentral lists this ribosomal RNA (732 nucleotides) under Campylobacter jejuni. RNAcentral describes it as "bacterial SSU rRNA". It matches the Rfam family "Bacterial small subunit ribosomal RNA", at positions 785 to 1520 of the family's 1533-position model. The record is from RNAcentral. Lineage: Bacteria; Pseudomonadati; Campylobacterota; Epsilonproteobacteria; Campylobacterales; Campylobacteraceae.